Molecule: transfer RNA, 67 nt
Filed under: Saron marmoratus
Lineage: Eukaryota; Metazoa; Arthropoda; Malacostraca; Decapoda; Hippolytidae
Description: tRNA-Trp
Source: RNAcentral
AAGGUUUUAAGUUAAUAAAACUAGGAACCUUCAAAGUUCCAAAUAAGGGCCCCACCCUUAAACCUUA